AACUUUGGAAAUCUCCUGCUUCCAAAAGUUCUAUGUUGAUACAUUUACUAAAAUGGAACAAUGCACUGUUAAUGGGUCUGCUUUUAUUUUUUCUAGCAUUCCUCUUGCUGAUGACACAAUUCCUGUGUGAAUCUGUUUACAAGAUUCUGAAAACUGAACAGAGAAUUUUGGCACUGCACUGGGUAGGAAAAAGCUUUACAAGAAAUAGAUAACAUCAAGGACAUCGGGAGUGGGAGAGAUUGGACUGGGAGACUCAGCAGGUCAGGACAUUUGCUUUAUCAUUUGCUGAUCAUUCUUUUGCCAUCAAUUCUAGAGUUCUCAAGUCUCUUGCCACUUGUUUAUUGCUUGGACAUGCUUACUUGGUAUGUUCUCAGUUUUGCAAAUUGUGACUAACACCUUUAUGUAAAAAGUCCAGCAUUUGGGUAUCCUUUUUUUUUAGGAUUUGAAGAUUUAAAAAAAUAAUUCAAAUAAAUUUUCAGGAAUAGAAGAAAAUUUCUUACCUAAUAAGUUGUAUAAAUACCCGGAUUUCUAUUAUUCUCACAUAAACUGUUUUUGAAUGAAGAUUUCUUGAUAACUUUUCCAGAAUCAAAACUUUAAACAUAUAAGAUGUUAGUAAGUAAUUGUAGUAACAUUAAGUAAUUGUAGUAACACUUGGGUCAUGAAAGUCGUUUCCUUUCUUUUCUGCUAUAGUCUCUGGGCUUGGAUCCACCUCUAAAAGCUCUUGACACUUCAGAGUCAAUCUACUUGCUUACAUUAAUCUUAACUUCUGAAUGUUGACUACCAUGUGUAAAAUGAAGUUUAAUUAAAAUACAAUUUCUAUGUAAAUGGAAAGAUCCCAAUAGUCAAAUGGUCACCAUUGUGGAAAGUUUAGUGUUAGUCCCAUUCCUUGGUCAGCUGAAGCCAUGCUGGCCUUUGGGAUCUCCAUUGCCCUGAGUGUCCCCGUGGGUGACUGAUGGGUUCGUGUUCAUCUCCUGCUUCAAAGAAGUCUCCAAGUUGUCUUGAAUAGUGAUUACAUCUCUCAGUAUAAUUGCUUAGUUUUUUAUAGGAGC
RNAcentral lists this long non-coding RNA (1049 nucleotides) under Zalophus californianus (California sea lion). Its description in RNAcentral is "lncRNA (ENSZCAG00015018771.1)". Lineage: Eukaryota; Metazoa; Chordata; Mammalia; Carnivora; Otariidae. The record is from RNAcentral.